GCGCCAGUCAUCCGAUAGACUGAGUCGCCCGGGUACCCGUGUUCCCAAUAAAGCCUUUUGCUGUUGC
Molecule: unclassified non-coding RNA, 67 nt
Filed under: Mus musculus (house mouse)
Lineage: Eukaryota; Metazoa; Chordata; Mammalia; Rodentia; Muridae
Source: RNAcentral